This 511-nucleotide ribosomal RNA is filed under the name uncultured bacterium. RNAcentral's name for it is "partial 16S ribosomal RNA". The record is from RNAcentral.
GGAGUUAGCCGGUGCUUCUUCUGCGAGUAACGUCACAGAUGUAAGGUAUUAACUUACACCCUUUCCUCCUCGCUGAAAGUGCUUUACAACCCGAAGGCCUUCUUCACACACGCGGCAUGGCUGCAUCAGGGUUUCCCCCAUUGUGCAAUAUUCCCCACUGCUGCCUCCCGUAGGAGUCUGGGCCGUGUCUCAGUCCCAGUGUGGCUGAUCAUCCUCUCAGACCAGCUAGGGAUCGUCGCCUAGGUGAGCCUUUACCUCACCUACUAGCUAAUCCCACCUGGGCUUAUCCAUCAGCGCAAGGCCCGAAGGUCCCCUGCUUUCCCCCGUAGGGCCGUAUGCGGUAUUAGCAGUCGUUUCCAACUGUUAUCCCCCACAAAUGGGCAAAUUCCCAGGCAUUACUCACCCGUCCGCCGCUCGUCAUCUUCAAAGCAAGCUUUUGAAAUGUUACCGCUCGACUUGCAUGUGUUAGGCCUGCCGCCAGCGUUCAAUCUGAGCCAUGAUCAAACUCUGA